This 23-nucleotide non-coding RNA is filed under the name Arabidopsis thaliana (thale cress). The record is from RNAcentral. Lineage: Eukaryota; Viridiplantae; Streptophyta; Magnoliopsida; Brassicales; Brassicaceae.
GAGGUGGACAUCUUGAGAGGCCU